UAUUCCGAUGGUAGAUUGGAAUACCAUGGCGUUCACGGGUAACAGGGAAUUAGGGUUCGAUUCUGGAGAAGGAGCCUGAGAAACGGCUACUACAUCUACGGAAGGCAGCAGGCGCGUAAAUUACCCAAUCCUGACUCAGGGAGGUGGUGACAAGAUAUAACAACAACGAUGCAAAUCGUGAUUGUAGUGAGGGUAUUCUAAACCGAACCACUAGUACGAUUAGAGGGCAAGUCUGGUGCCAGCAGCCGCGGUCAUCACCGUAUCUAAUAGCGUAUAUUAAAGUUGCUGCAGUUAAAAAGCUCGUAGUUGGAUUUCAAGGAUUGUGUACUCUUUCAGAGUAUGCACCCUACUAGUCUUUGACUUGUUACUGUGAGAAAAUUAGAGUGUUUAAAGCAGGCUAUUGCAAGAAUACAUUAGCAUGGAAUAACGAAUGUAUCUAGAAUCUUGGUUAAUUCUAGGUUCGAUUAAUAGAGACAGUUGGGGGCAUUAGUAUUAAUUGUCAGAGUGAAUUCUGGAUUUGUAAAGACUACGUAUGCGAAGCAUUUGCCAGAUGUUUCUUAUCAGACGAAGAAGGGAUCAAGACAUCAGAACUGCGAGUCUAUCAAACAUGCCACAGGAUGAUGAAACACAUUCGUACUUUGAAUAACUUUGGUUGGGGAUGUGCCGAUGACUAUUGGAGGCCCGGGAGGCGUUUAUACGAAACGAAAAGGAGAUCUCUGGGGGGUG
Molecule: ribosomal RNA, 726 nt
Filed under: uncultured rumen protozoa
Lineage: Eukaryota
Description: bacterial SSU rRNA
Rfam family: Eukaryotic small subunit ribosomal RNA
Source: RNAcentral